Molecule: ribosomal RNA, 253 nt
Filed under: uncultured bacterium
Lineage: Bacteria
Description: partial 16S ribosomal RNA
Rfam family: Bacterial small subunit ribosomal RNA
Source: RNAcentral
UACGUAGGGGGCUAGCGUUGUCCGGAAUCAUUGGGCGUAAAGCGCGUGUAGGCGGUCCGGUAAGUCCGCUGUGAAAGUCGGGGGCUCAACCCUCGGAUGCCGGUGGAUACUGUCGGGCUUGAGUACGGAAGAGGUGAGUGGAAUUCCCAGUGUAGCGGUGAAAUGCGUAGAUAUUGGGAGGAACACCAGUGGCGAAGGCGGCUCACUGGACCGGAACUGACGCUGAGGCGCGAAAGCGUGGGGAGCAAACAGG